Long non-coding RNA from Acanthopagrus latus (yellowfin seabream), 884 nucleotides. RefSeq lists it as uncharacterized. The transcript is spliced from 2 exons. The record is from RefSeq and is a predicted model, not a curated record. NCBI's taxonomy places the organism in Eukaryota, Metazoa, Chordata, Actinopteri, Spariformes, Sparidae.
GUAAAAAGGGAAGGUUAAGUAUGAACAUAGUGAGUGUUUAUUGAUUAAGACGAUGUUAUAAAUUAUUCACGUUCAAGUUCUACUCUAAUGUCUCAUGGCUGAUCGGACAAUUUACUUCACAUGACUCUUCCAAUGAGUUACAGCUAACGGCGUGGCAGAUGGGUAGCAACUGCCAAAAGAAUAACUUCUUGUCUGACACUCGCCCGCUGUGCCCCUGUGAUGUUUUAUUACAGCUGCUUGUAACUUCUAACGCAAAUGCAGAUAUAUUAAAUCAUCGGAGAAAACAUCUUCAAAGCAGAGUUACAGUGAAUCAUCCUCUCCUGCUGAUAUUCCCCCCCCACCACAUGGAUGAGGAUGUUUAUGGAUUGAAGCGCACUUGUGAGAGGAGCUUAACUGAUUGAACUCACGCAGAGUUUAAAGAGUUCCCUCUGGCUUCUAAUGGGAGCAAAGAAAGCAAAGCGAAUCGUCGGGAAACCCAGCUGAUGUAGCGCAAGGGCCUCAGUUCUCAGGCCAGAAGAAGGAGAAGGAGGAACAGGGUCGUUUGGGUGGUGCUGGUGUUUGGGUGUGCGUGUGUGUGGACAAGAAGGGUUUCUGUGUGACCAAUUUGGAAGCUGGAUGACUGCUCUCUCUCCUAAACGCUACCGUAGCUAAGGCUGAGGUCAUGGCAAUCUGGUGGACUCUGAGAACCUCAAAUGAGAUCACCAGUGGGCUGGGCUAUCCUGUGACACACACACACACACACACACACACACACACACACACACACACACACACACACAUAUAUACACACUCAGAGCGAGCAGUCUCUCCGAUGAACGUUAAUCCAUCAUUCUCUGACUAAGCGGAAUAAAAAGAAACCAGAGAACAUGACGGGCUCAAGCAAA